This 635-nucleotide long non-coding RNA is filed under the name Homo sapiens (human). RNAcentral describes it as "HSALNT0070851". Lineage: Eukaryota; Metazoa; Chordata; Mammalia; Primates; Hominidae. The record is from RNAcentral.
UACCUGUUUUGAGAAAAAAACAAAGAGAAACUCAGCAGAGGAAAUAUAGCAUGACAUACUAUCUAACGGAUCUGGAUCCUUUCAUCCACCUGCCUUCUUGGCUACAGUACUCAUGGCAAGCUCUGUAGGAGACACAACUCAUGGCUCAGACAGGACCUAACAGCUUUCUCUGGCUGACUCUACUCAACUUUGGUUCCCACUGACUCAGCCUGCAGAUUAUCUUUGCGGUGCUCCAUUCAUUCCUGUUGGUCAGUCUUCUCCCAAUCUUUGUGUAUUCCCUAAAAAAAUGUACCUCAUGAAAGGUAAUUGCCUGGCAAUUCAGCAUCCAUUCCUGAUGAAAACUGAGGAAAACUCAGAGAAAGUAACCCCAGCUCCACAGAAUUUUGCCAAGUUAUUUUUGCUACAUUUAAGCUUCAUACAAGGUGACUCAAGAGUUGUCUUAAUUCCUGAAAAAAAGGGAAGAUAUGUUCUUUUCCUUAUCAUUCCACUUAACUCCAUCAUGUAAUAUAUCUCCUGCUCACCAAACCAAAGACUUAAAAGAAAAAUGUCUACUCAUCUCUGAUUGAUUCACUCUUCCUCCUUGUAUCUUUCUUUCUACUAAUUCUCAAGAAAAUAAAAAGACGUUUGCUUUAAAA